CACCCUUCAUGGCUUUAUUUUUUCCCGUCAUAGUGGGUACUUUCUACUACACAUAAUUCAUUUUAUUUUAAACAUCGUUUUACUUGUUUAUUUAGUUACGUUUUCAAAAUGUUUUGGCUUAUUUGUUUUGGUCUUCUUCUAUUUUCUCAGCACUGGGCACUACAGUGGGAGGUGGAGUCGUUGUGUGUUCAGUGCUAUAACCUCCGCACCUAAGGAUAGCUUGUAAUGACUGAUGAAUGAAUGAAACGGAGUGACUUUCUCAGUCCUCCAAUCUGUCUCCCACAGGUGCGGUGGCCUCAGUCCCCCUCGCCCGCCCCAGCCUCUGAGUCCCCCUCACUGAUAGUCCCCCAGGCAGGGACCAGGAGGCAACACAAGGUCACAGCCCAGGCCAAGGCCAUGGCCGGAUGGCACAGUCCAGCCAGCAAAGUUGACAGAAAUAGCUGCCCAGGGAUAUGGUGGCUCUCCUUCCCAAUUCUCUCCCUGCCACCGCUGGGCUGCAGGCCACAGACAGAUGCCAAAGGCAAGGAAGGAAACCAAUGACGAAGCUAAGGCCAGAUGGACCAGCGGCUGCUGCCCUCUCCCAG
This 584-nucleotide long non-coding RNA is filed under the name Macaca nemestrina (pig-tailed macaque). Its description in RNAcentral is "lncRNA (ENSMNEG00000046056.1)". The record is from RNAcentral. Lineage: Eukaryota; Metazoa; Chordata; Mammalia; Primates; Cercopithecidae.